RNAcentral lists this ribosomal RNA (540 nucleotides) under uncultured Geobacteraceae bacterium. RNAcentral's name for it is "bacterial SSU rRNA". It matches the Rfam family "Bacterial small subunit ribosomal RNA", at positions 9 to 526 of the family's 1533-position model. The record is from RNAcentral. Lineage: Bacteria; Pseudomonadati; Thermodesulfobacteriota; Desulfuromonadia; Geobacterales; Geobacteraceae.
GAGUUUGAUCCUGGCUCAGAACGAACGCUGGCGGCGUGCCUAACACAUGCAAGUCGAACGUGAUCCAGAGCUUGCUCUGGUGAAGGUGGCGCACGGGUGAGUAACGCGUGGAUAACCUACCCUGGUAUCCGGGAUAACAUUCCGAAAGGGGUGCUAAUACCGGAUAAGCCCACGGGCUCUUUGGAGCUUGCGGGAAAAGGUGGCCUCUAUUUAUAAGCUACUGUAUCAGGAUGGGUCCGCGUACCAUUAGCUAGUUGGCGGUGUAACGGACCACCAAGGCGACGAUGGUUAGCUGGUCUGAGAGGAUGAUCAGCCACACUGGAACUGAGACMCGGUCCAGACUCCUACGGGAGGCAGCAGUGGGGAAUUUUGCGCAAUGGGGGAAACCCUGACGCAGCAACGCCGCGUGAGUGAUGAAGGCCUUUGGGUCGUAAAGCUCUGUCAGAGGGGAAGAAAUGAUAUAGUGCUAAUACCACUUUAUCUUGACGGUACCCUCAAAGGAAGCACCGGCUAACUCCGUGCCAGCAGCCGCGGUAAUAC